Long non-coding RNA from Myotis myotis, 975 nucleotides. RefSeq lists it as uncharacterized. NCBI's taxonomy places the organism in Eukaryota, Metazoa, Chordata, Mammalia, Chiroptera, Vespertilionidae. The transcript has 5 exons. The record is from RefSeq and is a predicted model, not a curated record.
CCGCACCAGGGCUAGCCCUCUCUGCCACCUGCUGCUGUGUCAGUAAGGAGGGUGGGGAGCCAGCCCCGGGUUUGUAAUAAUAAAGACUCUCUGCUUUUGCAUCGGACUCGGCUGGAUCCUGAAAUCUGGGCAUAACAAUCUCAAGCAGCGCGACUGACUGCGUGAACUCAGACGAGCACUGCUUCUUCUCACGGAAAGCCCAACGAUGAACGGCUCAAAUUCUGGAAACAUUGGAACCCUCAGCACUAUGCCAGCAGCAGCACCUACUUCCAGCACUGGCGUUCGGGAAGGCUGGCAUGAACAUGUCACCCAGGACCUGCGGAGCCACCUAGUGCAUGAACUCGUCCAAGCCAUCUUCCCAACACCUGACCCUGCAGCCCUGGAGGAUCCCCGCAUGAAGAACCUAGUGGACUAUGCUAAGAGAGUGGAAGGGGACAUGUAUGAGUCUGCCAACAGCUGGGCUGAAUACUAUCGCUUACUAUCAGAGAGAAUCGAUAUGAUACAAAAAGAACAAGAAGAAAGACGGAGGUUGCGUUUGGGCAUCUUGGGUAACCAGCCAGCUUACCAGCCACCAGGGCGCAGCCUCCCGGGAUACCAAGGUCACAACCUGUGAGACCCCCAGGGACAGGUGCCUGGUGUUGCUCUUCCUAACCUUCCGAACAUGCUUGGGUCCCAGCUGCCUUGUCCACCAGAGACACAGUCGCCUUUGCACCAGACACCGCCUCCUGCUUCCACAGCCGCUGGCCUGCCACCUCUACAGCAUCCAGCAGCACCUGUGAUGACUCCUCCCCCGCCAGCAGCUCCCCCUCAGCCAUCGACUCCUGUGUCGUCUUCCAGGCAGACUCCUACCCCAACUCCUGGCUCCAUAUCUUAGUUCUUAUAAAAAAUUCUGCAGGGAGCAUACAGGGGCAUAUGCUUUUUCAAAUUAGUGUUUAUAAUUUCUUCAAAUAAAUACCCAGAAGUGGAAUUGCUGGA